GACGAACGCUGGCGGCGUGCUUAACACAUGCAAGUCGAACGGAAAGGCCCUGCUUUUGUGGGGUGCUCGAGUGGCGAACGGGUGAGUAACACGUGAGUAACCUGCCCUUGACUUUGGGAUAACUUCAGGAAACUGGGGCUAAUACCGGAUAGGAGCUCCUGCUGCAUGGUGGGGGUUGGAAAGUUUCGGCGGUUGGGGAUGGACUCGCGGCUUAUCAGCUUGUUGGUGGGGUAGAGGCUUACCAAGGCGAUGACGGGUAGCUGGGCGGAGAGGGCGACCAGCGACAAUGGGAUGGAGACAGGGAACAGAGUACUACGGGAGGCAGCAGUGGGGAAUUUGGGACAACGGGCGAAAGCGGGAUCCAGCAAGGGCGAGUGUGUGAAGAAGGCCUUCGGGUUGUAAAGCGUGUUUGUCGGGAAAGAAAUCCUUGGCCCUAAUACGGUGGGGGGAUGACGGUACCGGAAGAAUAAGCACCGGCUAACUACGUG
RNAcentral lists this ribosomal RNA (488 nucleotides) under uncultured bacterium. RNAcentral describes it as "partial 16S ribosomal RNA". It matches the Rfam family "Bacterial small subunit ribosomal RNA", at positions 28 to 507 of the family's 1533-position model. The record is from RNAcentral.